This 443-nucleotide ribosomal RNA is filed under the name uncultured bacterium. RNAcentral describes it as "partial 16S ribosomal RNA". It matches the Rfam family "Bacterial small subunit ribosomal RNA", at positions 338 to 795 of the family's 1533-position model. The record is from RNAcentral.
CCUACGGGUGGCAGCAGUGGGGAAUAUUGGACAAUGGGGGGAACCCUGAUCCAGCGACGCCGCGUGAGUGAAGAAGUAUUUCGGUAUGUAAAGCUCUAUCAGCAGGGAAGAAAGAAAUGACGGUACCUGACUAAGAAGCCCCGGCUAACUACGUGCCAGCAGCCGCGGUAAUACGUAGGGGGCAAGCGUUAUCCGGAUUUACUGGGUGUAAAGGGAGCGUAGACGGCGAUGCAAGUCUGAAGUGAAAGGCGGGGGCUCAACCCCCGGACUGCUUUGGAAACUGUAUGGCUGGAGUGCAGGAGAGGUAAGUGGAAUUCCUAGUGUAGCGGUGAAAUGCGUAGAUAUUAGGAGGAACACCAGUGGCGAAGGCGGCUUACUGGACUGUAACUGACGUUGAGGCUCGAAAGCGUGGGGAGCAAACAGGAUUAGAUACCCCUGUAGUC